UACGGAGGGUGCAAGCGUUAAUCGGAAUUACUGGGCGUAAAGCGUGCGUAGGCGGUUCGUUAAGUCUGUUGUGAAAGCCCCGGGCUCAACCUGGGAAUGGCAAUGGAUACUGGCGAGCUAGAGUGUGUCAGAGGAUGGUGGAAUUCCGGUGUAGCGGUGAAAUGCGUAGAGAUCGGGAGGAACAUCAGUGGCGAAGGCGGCCAGUCUGGGACAACACGUACGCUGAGGAC
This 230-nucleotide ribosomal RNA is filed under the name uncultured bacterium. RNAcentral describes it as "partial 16S ribosomal RNA". It matches the Rfam family "Bacterial small subunit ribosomal RNA", at positions 524 to 754 of the family's 1533-position model. The record is from RNAcentral.